GCCGCGGUAAUACGUAGGGUGCGAGCGUUGUCCGGAAUUACUGGGCGUAAAGAGCUCGUAGGCGGUUUGUCGCGUCGUCCGUGAAAACUCGGAGCUUAACUCCGAGCUUGCGGGCGAUACGGGCAGACUUGAGUACUACAGGGGAGACUGGAAUUCCUGGUGUAGCGGUGAAAUGCGCAGAUAUCAGGAGGAACACCGGUGGCGGAGGCGGGUCUCUGGGUAGUAACUGACGCUGAGGAGCGAAAGCAUGGGUAGCGAACAGGAUUAGAUACCCUGGUAGUCCAUGCCGUAAACGGUGGGCGCUAUGUGUGGGGUCCUUCCACGGAUUCCGUGCCGUAGCUAACGCAUUAAGCGCCCCGCCUGGGGAGUACGGCCGCAAGGCUAAAACUCAAAGGAAUUGACGGGGGCCCGCACAAGCGGCGGAGCAUGUGGAUUAAUUCGAUGCAACGCGAAGAACCUUAACUAGGCUUGACAUAUACAGGACG
Molecule: ribosomal RNA, 485 nt
Filed under: uncultured bacterium
Lineage: Bacteria
Description: bacterial SSU rRNA
Rfam family: Bacterial small subunit ribosomal RNA
Source: RNAcentral